CCUGGGGAGUACGGCCGCAAGGCUAAAACUCAAAGGAAUUGACGGGGACCCGCACAAGCGGCGGAGCAUGCGGAUUAAUUCGAUGCAACGCGAAGAACCUUACCAAGGCUUGACAUACACCAGAACGGGCCAGAAAUGGUCAACUCUUUGGACACUGGUGAACAGGUGGUGCAUGGUUGUCGUCAGCUCGUGUCGUGAGAUGUUGGGUUAAGUCCCGCAACGAGCGCAACCCUCGUUCUAUGUUGCCAGCACGUAAUGGUGGGAACUCAUGGGAUACUGCCGGGGUCAACUCGGAGGAAGGUGGGGAUGACGUCAAAUCAUCAUGCCCCUUAUGUCUUGGGCUUCACGCAUGCUACAAUGGCCGGUACAAAGGGCUGCAAUACCGUGAGGUGGAGCGAAUCCCAAAAAGCCGGUCCCAGUUCGGAUUGAGGUCUGCAACUCGACCUCAUGAAGUCGGAGUCGCUAGUAAUCGCAGAUCAGCAACGCUGCGGUGAAUACGUUCCCGGGUCUUGUACACACCGCCCGUCAAGUCAUGAAAGUCGGUAACACCUGAAGCCGGUGGCCCAACCCUUGUGGAGGGAGCCGUCGAAGGUGGGAUCGGUAAUUAGGACUUUU
Molecule: ribosomal RNA, 615 nt
Filed under: actinobacterium ODP52503by0
Lineage: Bacteria; Bacillati; Actinomycetota; Actinomycetes
Description: SSU rRNA
Rfam family: Bacterial small subunit ribosomal RNA
Source: RNAcentral